Molecule: long non-coding RNA, 854 nt
Filed under: Nothobranchius furzeri (turquoise killifish)
Lineage: Eukaryota; Metazoa; Chordata; Actinopteri; Cyprinodontiformes; Nothobranchiidae
Description: lncRNA (ENSNFUG00015011866.1)
Source: RNAcentral
AUGUCUUCAGCUCAGUCUCUGAGAGAGUUUAUAAGAGAGCGGCUAACUGCUGCUGCUGCAGAAAUAUUCUCCGAGUUUGAACAAACCAUCGUCCGCUACGAGGAAGAGAUCGAUCGUCAGCGCAGACUGCUGGAGAUCAGCUGGAAACCACAGAUCAACUUACACAGAAUAGAACUCCCACUGCAUGAUGUCAAGACAGAUGAGGUGGUUCUGACUGAUCAGCAGCUCUGGAACCAGGAGAGGACCUCCAGUUUAAACCAGGAACAACCAGAACCUUUACAGGAGGGACCAGAACCUCCACAGAUGAAAGUGGAGCACGAUGAGCCAGAACCUUUGCAGAUUCUAGAACAAGAGCUCUGCAUCAGUCAGGAUGAAGAGCAAUUUGUACUGAAGCAGGAGAUGGUUACCUCCCUUGUGACUCCUGCUGAUGAGGAAAGAGUCUACCAUGAACCAGAACCAAACAAACACCAGCUCCGUUUGUCACUGUUUCCUGAGGCUGAGAUUAGAGCUGCUGCUUCUCCAGGGUCCACAGAACUGGGCCCAGUGUCUGUCAGAUUCAUUGAUUUAGACUCUUACUGACUUCUGGGAUGGGCACACGGAUACUACAGGUGAGUUUAUAGAGACAUAAACAUCCAGAUGUUCCUCAGAUGCAUCCGUCUCUGAUGAAAACAGGACUGAGAGGUGGAAUCAUUUCCACUUUGAAGUUGCUGACAGCUUUACUUGGCAACGUCCACAAACAGAUCAGACUAACAGAAACUUCUAAACAAGUCUCUGAUUGUAGAACAUCAGUUCCAGGGUUUUCCCCAGCGCUUUAUAAGCCUGGCGGCCUGCCAGGCUUUGCUUGGUCGCCCGCC